UGCUCACGGAGGGCACUGGGGGAGAGGAGUCUGAGCCCAGCCCCCGGUCUGCGGCUGCGGGAAAUCGUCCUCGGCUGCUGUGACUGCUCUGGUUUCUCCUUUCAGAAUUCCAUGCUGGCUGCCGACUCCUGGAGUAGCUGCUACCCUGUCUCCUUCCCAACCUCGUCCUUCCCCAGUGAAAACCAGUGAAUUCUGGUGCUUGGCUUUACUGGCUUGUCUCGCUUGUGGGGCAGGGAGCAGCCCCUUGUUUUUCUGACCUGGUACCUGCUGAAGGACGUGCACUGCGUCUUCUUCACACAAAGAAGUGCUGAUUUCUUCAAACGGAGCUCUGAAGCCAGGCUCCCUCUUUCUCUUUAGUGAACCAAACCAAAGUGGGAGACCAGCAUUCCCUCCUCUCUGUCCCUGUGGUUUCUCUGGGGUGACCUUUC
This 428-nucleotide long non-coding RNA is filed under the name Calidris pygmaea (Spoon-billed sandpiper). RNAcentral describes it as "lncRNA (ENSCPGG00000002378.1)". The record is from RNAcentral. Lineage: Eukaryota; Metazoa; Chordata; Aves; Charadriiformes; Scolopacidae.